This 354-nucleotide ribosomal RNA is filed under the name uncultured bacterium. RNAcentral describes it as "partial 16S ribosomal RNA". It matches the Rfam family "Bacterial small subunit ribosomal RNA", at positions 338 to 691 of the family's 1533-position model. The record is from RNAcentral.
CCUACGGGGCGCAGCAGUGAGGAAUAUUGGUCAAUGGGCGAGAGCCUGAACCAGCCAAGUCGCGUGAGGGAGUACUGCCCUAUGGGUUGUAAACCUCUUUUGUCGGGGAGCAAAAGCCGGACGUGUCCGGCUGUGAGAGUACCCGAAGAAAAAGCAACGGCUAACUCCGUGCCAGCAGCCGCGGUAAUACGGAGGAUGCGAGCGUUAUCCGGAGUUAAUGGGGUUAAAGGGGGCGCAGGCGGAUUUUUAAGUCAGCGGUCAAAUCGUGGGGCUCAACCCCAUCCAGCCGUUGAAACUGGGGAUCUAGCGUGUGCGAGAGGUAUGCGGAAUGCGUGGUGUAGCGGUGAAAUGCAU